This 764-nucleotide long non-coding RNA is filed under the name Ictidomys tridecemlineatus (thirteen-lined ground squirrel). RNAcentral's name for it is "lncRNA (ENSSTOG00000029575.1)". The record is from RNAcentral. Lineage: Eukaryota; Metazoa; Chordata; Mammalia; Rodentia; Sciuridae.
CUAACUGAGGACCACAGUCAGAGCAAGAGGAACAAAGAUGUGGUAACAGAGGGAAGAUCUCCAGCAGGCCCCAGUCUGUAGGAACCAAGAGUGUGGGGGUAGCACGGGGAUUACAAAACCAGGAAGGAAGAGUUAUUUGGAGGCACACCUGACUUGCCAAAGGAUGAAGACCAUAAGAAAACAUGUCAGGAGGAGACCACAGAAGCUAAGACACACUCUAAGUCACAAGAUGGAAUGACUCAUGCCUGUUUUGUACUCUUCUAAAUCCUGAGAUGCAGAAUAACUAUAUCAAAGUCAGCUGGAAUAUUCUAGAAUUCCAGGGACUCAGCCUGCCCAGUUCCUGGGAUCUUGUCUCCAGUUCAGCAAAGGUUGUUGCAGUGGAGAAAGAAACAACAGGAAGGAUCCAUGUCAGUUGUCCCAGGCUGCAGCCUGGGCAUGUCAAAUCUAUCAGGCAAAGACUGCAACAGUCACGUGGCUGAGUCGGGAUUUGGGCCUGAGUCUAUAAAGCCUACACUGUUUUGCACUAUGCAAGUAUUUGAGAGCAGACCACUCAUCCUGCAGAGGAGUGCAGAAGCCCGUGUGGGUCCUUUGCUGUAUUUUAUUUUGGCAACUCUAUUGAGUGCCUGCAAUGCCCCAUGGGAGCUGGGGACAGGAGGGCUUACAGAUGGGAACGAGACCCAGAGCCUCCCUCCAGGCGUGGCAGUUGAAGGGGACUGGGCCAUGUUCAGACGGGUCCUUCAGACCACUGGGAGCCAAGGCCCUUA